UUAGUCAAUGCUCGCAAGAGUGAACUAGCUAACUGAAAUCAUACUUGUGUCAAGUGUGAUAACGUAAGGGAAGAUAAUGACAUUACCUUACUAUUAGUGUUGUCCAAAACUGGUGCCAGAAGACUCGGUAAGGCCAGAGACGCGAACGUUAGUCGUCCUAAUCAGGCGUAAAGGGUGUGUAGGCUGCUUUAAAGUUUUUCUUUAUUACUUAAAUUCUUUUACUUAAUAUAUCUUUAAAAAGGAUAUAAAAAGAUCUAAACUUAUUUAAUGUAGACUGAUUAAUUCGUUUAAAUAUUUAAUACUAAUAACUAAAAUUGUUUAGUUAAAAAAAGAAUAAACUGAUAAUGAAAAAUUAUUUAGUUAUUUAGAGUUAAUUAAAGUAGAGAUAAGAUGAAUAAAAGCUAGAAUCAAAUAGAGGAUAAAAUAAUAUUUAGAGGAGGGGUGAUAUCCUAAGAUACUAAGUAGAAUAUUAAUGGUGAAAGCUUUUAUCUAUUAAUGAUUGACGCUGAGAAACGAAGGUGGGGAUAGGAAAUAGGAUUAGAUACCCAGAUACCCCUCACUGUCAACGAUGAAUGGUGGUUGCUAGUUAAAUAUAAUAAUUGGUGGCGAUGUUAACACGAUAACCAUUCCGCCAUGUGAGUACGACUGCAAAGUUGAAAACAAAAAAAUUAGUCGGUCUCGAAGCAAACGAAGUGAAGCAUGUUAUUUAAU
RNAcentral lists this ribosomal RNA (711 nucleotides) under Pseudotomentella atrofusca. Its description in RNAcentral is "SSU rRNA". It matches the Rfam family "Bacterial small subunit ribosomal RNA", at positions 364 to 950 of the family's 1533-position model. Lineage: Eukaryota; Fungi; Basidiomycota; Agaricomycetes; Thelephorales; Thelephoraceae. The record is from RNAcentral.